UGACUGCGUACCUUUUGUAUAAUGGGUCAGCGACUUAUAUUUAGUAGCAAGGUUAAGUGAAUAACGGAGCCGUAGCGAAAGCGAGUGUUAACUGCGCGUUGAGUUGCUAGGUAUAGACCCGAAACCCGGUGAUCUAGCCAUGGGCAGGUUGAAGGUUGAGUAACAUCAACUGGAGGACCGAACCCACUAACGUUGAAAAGUUAGGGGAUGACUUGUGGCUGGGGGUGAAAGGCCAAUCAAACCGGGAGAUAGCUGGUUCUCCCCGAAAUCUAUUUAGGUAGAGCCUCGGACGAACACCAUUGGGGGUAGAGCACUGUUAAGGCUAGGGGGUCAUCCCGACUUACCAACCCUUUGCAAACUCCGAAUACCGAUGAGUGCUAUCCGGGAGACACACGGCGGGUGCUAACGUCCGUCGUGAAGAGGGAAACAACCCAGACCGCCAGCUAAGGUCCCAAAAUAUUGCUAAGUGGGAAACGAUGUGGGAAGGCUAAGACAGCUAGGAGGUUGGCUUAGAAGCAGCCACCCUUUAAAGAAAGCGUAAUAGCUCACUAGUCGAGUCGGCCUGCGCGGAAGAUGUAACGGGGCUAAGCAAUAUACCGAAGCUGCGGAUUUGAACUUAGGUUCAAGUGGUAGGGGAGCGUUGUGUAAGUGGUUGAAGCUCAAUUGAGAAGUUGGGUGGACAUAUCACAAGUGCGAAUGCUGACAUGAGUAACGAUAAUGGGGGUGAAAAACCCCCACGCCGGAAGACCAAGGUUUCCUGUCCCAUGCUAAUCAGGGCAGGGUAAGUCGGCCCCUAAGGCGAGGCAGAAAUGCGUAGUCGAUGGGAAACGGAUUAAUAUUUCCGUACUUGUAUAAUCAGUGAUGGGAGGACGGAGAAGGCUAGGCAAGCCUGGCGUUGGUAGUCCAGGUGAAAGUGCGUAGGCUGAGUGUUUAGGUAAAUCCGGAC
RNAcentral lists this ribosomal RNA (946 nucleotides) under Alteromonas pelagimontana. RNAcentral's name for it is "bacterial LSU rRNA". It matches the Rfam family "Bacterial large subunit ribosomal RNA", at positions 594 to 1547 of the family's 2925-position model. The record is from RNAcentral. Lineage: Bacteria; Pseudomonadati; Pseudomonadota; Gammaproteobacteria; Alteromonadales; Alteromonadaceae.